CGUGCCUAAUACAUGCAAGUCGAGCGGAAUGAUGAAGAAGCUUGCUUCUUCUGAUUUUGGCGGCGACGGGUGAGUAACACGUGGGCAACCUACCUUGUAGAUUGGGAUAACUCCGGGAAACCGGGGCUAAUACCGAAUAAUCCAUUUUUGCUUCAUGGCGAGAUGUUGAAAGACGGUUUCGGCUGUCACUACAAGAUGGGCCCGCGGCGCAUUAGCUAGUUGGUAGGGUAAUGGCCUACCAAGGCGACGAUGCGUAGCCGACCUGAGAGGGUGAUCGGCCACACUGGAACUGAGACACGGUCCAGACUCCUACGGGAGGCAGCAGUGGGGAAUUUUUCGCAAUGGGCGAAAGCCUGACGAAGCAACGCCGCGUGGAUGAUGAAGGCUUUCGGGUCGUAAAAUCCUGUCGGCAGGUAUGAAACUUUUGGUAACUAAUAUCUACCAAAAUUGACAGUACCUGCUGAGAAAGCCCCGGCUAACUCCGUG
Molecule: ribosomal RNA, 486 nt
Filed under: uncultured bacterium
Lineage: Bacteria
Description: bacterial SSU rRNA
Rfam family: Bacterial small subunit ribosomal RNA
Source: RNAcentral